Molecule: ribosomal RNA, 403 nt
Filed under: uncultured eukaryote
Lineage: Eukaryota
Description: bacterial SSU rRNA
Rfam family: Eukaryotic small subunit ribosomal RNA
Source: RNAcentral
UUCUAGUUCAUUUACUUUGAGAAAAUUAGAGUGUUUAAAGCAGCCUCUUGGGGCACUGAAUACAUUAGCAUGGGAUAAUAAAAUAGGAUCUUUACAAUAUAUUUUAUUGGUUUAAAUUGAAAUAAAGAUAAUGAUUAAUAGGGACAGUUGGGGGUAUUCAUAUUGGGUGGUUAGCGGUGAAAUGCUCGGAUCCAUUCAAGAUGAACUAAAGCGAAAGCAUUUACCAAGGAUGUUUUCAUUAAUCAAGAACGAAAGUUAAGGGGAUCGAAGACGAUUAGAUACCGUCGUAGUCUUAACUAUAAACUAUGCCGACCAGGGAUAUGAGUUGUUAAGAUUAUAUGAAAAUAUAAUCAAUUUCUUCUUAUGGACCUUGUGAGAAAUCAUAAGUUAUUAGGUUCUGGGG